Molecule: ribosomal RNA, 1009 nt
Filed under: uncultured actinomycete
Lineage: Bacteria; Bacillati; Actinomycetota; Actinomycetes; Actinomycetales
Description: bacterial SSU rRNA
Rfam family: Bacterial small subunit ribosomal RNA
Source: RNAcentral
GUGCCAGCAGCCGCGGUAAUACGUAGGGCGCAAGCGUUGUCCGGAAUUAUUGGGCGUAAAGAGCUCGUAGGCGACUUGUCACGUCGGGUGUGAAAGCCCGGGGCUUAACCCCGGGUCUGCAUCCGAUACGGGCAGGCUAGAGUGUGGUAGGGGAGAUCGGAAUUCCUGGUGUAGCGGUGAAAUGCGCAGAUAUCAGGAGGAACACCGGUGGCGAAGGCGGAUCUCUGGGCCAUUACUGACGCUGAGGAGCGAAAGCGUGGGGAGCGAACAGGAUUAGAUACCCUGGUAGUCCACGCCGUAAACGUUGGGAACUAGGUGUUGGCGACAUUCCACGUCGUCGGUGCCGCAGCUAACGCAUUAAGUUCCCCGCCUGGGGAGUACGGCCGCAAGGCUAAAACUCAAAGGAAUUGACGGGGGCCCGCACAAGCAGCGGAGCAUGUGGCUUAAUUCGACGCAACGCGAAGAACCUUACCAAGGCUUGACAUAUACCGGAAAGCAUUASAGAUAGUGCCCCCCUUGUGGUCGGUAUACAGGUGGUGCAUGGCCUGUCGUCAGCUCGUGUCGUGAGAUGUUGGGUUAASUCCCGCAACGAGCGCAACCCUUGUCCUGUGUUGCCAGCAUGCCCUUCGGGGUGAUGGGGACUCACAGGAGACCGCCGGGGUCAACUCGGAGGAAGGUGGGGACGACGUCAAGUCAUCAUGCCCCUUAUGUCUUGGGCUGCACACGUGCUACAAUGGCCGGUACAAAGAGCUGCGAUGCCGCGAGGCGGAGCGAAUCUCAAAAAGCCGGUCUCAGUUCGGAUUGGGGUCUGCAACUCGACCCCAUGAAGUCGGAGUUGCUAGUAAUCGCAGAUCAGCAUUGCUGCGGUGAAUACGUUCCCGGGCCUUGUACACACCGCCCGUCACGUCACGAAAGUCGGUAACACCCGAAGCCGGUGGCCCAACCCCUUGUGGGAGGGAGCUGUCGAAGGUGGGACCAGCGAUUGGGACGAAGUCGUAACAAGGUAACC